ACCACCCCCACCCCCCGUCCCCGUCCCCCACCUCCACCAUGGCCGGGUGCUGCGCCCGGCGGGCGUCCAGGUGAGCCAGCAGCGCCUGCGCCAGCACCGCCGUGUCCUCGGGGCCCCUGGGGACACGGGGACGUGGGACAGGGGGACACGGGGACAGGGGACAGGGGGACACAGGUUUUGGGGACAUAGGACAUGGGACACAGGGACAGGGGGAUAUGGGGGCAGGGGACAUGGGACACAGGGACAUGGAUGUUGGGGACAGGGGACACAGGGACACGGGGACAGGGGGACACGGGUGUUGGAGACAUGGGGCAGUGGUCUUGGGGACCUGGGGACAUGGGACACAGGGACAUGGGGACAUGGAUGUUGGGGACAUGGGACAUGGGGACACAGGGACGUGGGGACAUGGGGACAUCGGUGUUGGGGACAUUGGGAUGCAGGGACAUCAGGACACAGGGACAUGGGGACAUGGGGGACAUGGGGAUGUUGGCGUUGGGGACAUGGGACAUGGACAUGGGGACAUGGGCGUUGGGGACAGAGGAGAUGGGAACAGAGGGACACAGGGACACGGGGACACAGGGACGUCGGUGUUGGGGACGGGACAUGGGACAUGGGGAGAUGGGGACAUGGGGACAGAGUGACAUGGGGACACAGAAACAGUGACAUGGGGACAUCGGUUGGGGACAUGGGGAC
This 693-nucleotide long non-coding RNA is filed under the name Anas platyrhynchos platyrhynchos (common mallard). RNAcentral's name for it is "lncRNA (ENSAPLG00000027548.1)". The record is from RNAcentral. Lineage: Eukaryota; Metazoa; Chordata; Aves; Anseriformes; Anatidae.